This 464-nucleotide ribosomal RNA is filed under the name Vreelandella stevensii. Its description in RNAcentral is "partial 16S ribosomal RNA". It matches the Rfam family "Bacterial small subunit ribosomal RNA", at positions 338 to 794 of the family's 1533-position model. Lineage: Bacteria; Pseudomonadati; Pseudomonadota; Gammaproteobacteria; Oceanospirillales; Halomonadaceae. The record is from RNAcentral.
UCUACGGGUGGCUGCAGUGGGGAAUAUUGGACAAUGGGCGAAAGCCUGAUCCAGCCAUGCCGCGUGUGUGAAGAAGGCCUUCGGGUUGUAAAGCACUUUCAGUGGGGAAGAAAGCCUUGGGGCUAAUACCCUCGAGGAAGGACAUCACCCACAGAAGAAGCACCGGCUAACUCCGUGCCAGCAGCCGCGGUAAUACGGAGGGUGCGAGCGUUAAUCGGAAUUACUGGGCGUAAAGCGCGCGUAGGCGGUCUGAUAAGCCGGUUGUGAAAGCCCCGGGCUCAACCUGGGAACGGCAUCCGGAACUGUCAGGCUAGAGUGCAGGAGAGGAAGGUAGAAUUCCCGGUGUAGCGGUGAAAUGCGUAGAGAUCGGGAGGAAUACCAGUGGCGAAGGCGGCCUUCUGGACUGACACUGACGCUGAGGUGCGAAAGCGUGGGUAGCAAACAGGAUUAGAUACCCCGGUAGU